Molecule: transfer RNA, 47 nt
Filed under: Acidobacteriota bacterium
Lineage: Bacteria; Pseudomonadati; Acidobacteriota
Description: Acidobacteria bacterium tRNA-Lys
Source: RNAcentral
GCCGUUAGCUCAGUCGGUAGAGCACCAGCCUUUUAAGCUGAGGGUCG